GUGCUUAACACAUGCAAGUCGAACGGAGUGCCUAUGAUAGAGGUUUCGGCCAAUUGAGUGGGUUACUUAGUGGCGGACUGGUGAGUAACGCGUGAAGAACCUGCCUUUCAGAGGGGGACAACAGUUGGAAACGACUGCUAAUACCGCAUGAAGCAUGAUAGGGGCAUCCCUGACAUGCCAAAGAUUUUAUCGCUGAAAGAUGGCUUCGCGUCCCAUUAGAUAGUUGGCGGGGUAACGGCCCACCAAGUCGACGAUGGGUAGCCGGACUGAGAGGUUGACCGGCCACAUUGGGACUGAGAUACGGCCCAGACUCCUACGGGAGGCAGCAGUGGGGAAUAUUGGGCAAUGGACGCAAGUCUGACCCAGCAACGCCGCGUGAAGGAAGAAGGCUUUCGGGUUGUAAACUUCUUUUAAGUGGGAAGAGGAGAAGACGGUACCUGACUAAGAAGCCCCGGCUAACUACGUGCCAGCAGCCGCGGUAAUACGUAGGGGGCAAGCGUUAUCCGGAUUUACUGGGCGUAAAGGGGGCGUAGACGGCUCUGUAAGUCUGGAGUGAAAACCCGGGGCUCAACCCCGGGACUGCUUUGGAAACUAUGGAGCUAGAGUGUCGGAGAGGUAAGUGGAAUUCCUAGUGUAGCGGUGAAAUGCGUAGAUAUUAGGAGGAACACCAGUGGCGAAGGCGGCUUACUGGACGAUGACUGACGUUGAGGCUCGAAAGCGUGGGGAGCAAACGGGAUUAGAUACCCUGGUAGUCCACGCAGUAAACGAUGAUGACUUGUUUGUCGGCGAUAGACCAGUCGGGCGACAAAGCGGAAGCCAUAAGUCAUCCCCCGGGGGAGUUCGAUCGCAAGGUUGAAACUCAAAGGAAUUGACGGGGGCCCGCGCAAGCGGAGGAGCAUGUGGUUUAAUUUGAUGAUACGCGAGGAACCUUACCCAGACUCAAAUGCAGAUGGAGCUCGGCAGAGAUGCCGAGGCCCUUCGGGGCCGUCUGCAAGGUGCUGCAUGGUUGUCGUCAGCUCGUGCCGUGAGGUGUCAGGUUAAGUCCUAUAACGAGCGCAACCCCUACGUCCAGUUGCCAGCGGGUAAAGCCGGGGACUCUGGAGGGACUGCCGGCGCAAGCCGAGAGGAAGGUGGGGAUGACGUCAAAUCAGCACGGCCCUUACGUCUGGGGCGACACACGUGCUACAAUGGCCGGUACAGAGGGCAGCGACACUGCGGGGUGGAGCGAAUCUCGAAAGCCGGUCUCAGUUCGGAUCGGAGUCUGCAACCCGACUCCGUGAAGUUGGAUUCGCUAGUAAUCGCGCAUCAGCCAUGGCGCGGUGAAUACGUUCCCGGGCCUUGCACACACCGCCCGUCA
This 1357-nucleotide ribosomal RNA is filed under the name uncultured bacterium. RNAcentral describes it as "partial 16S ribosomal RNA". It matches the Rfam family "Bacterial small subunit ribosomal RNA", at positions 44 to 1399 of the family's 1533-position model. The record is from RNAcentral.